AAACGUGUUUUAAUUACACAGAAAAAAGCGACGUCACAUCAAAUGAUUUAUCACUACAACAGAAUUAGAUUAUAGCGACACAUAUUUAGGACACUUUUGUAUAAGUGUCACAUUUAUGCCAAAACUUAAAAAAAAUCCUACUAAUACCUAAAUGUAAAGUCCAAGUCAACUAAAAAUAAAAAGGUACUGUACUCAACCCACUCUACUUAGCCCAUUCGGCCCGAUUACAAAUAGAAAAGAAAAAGAAAAGAAAAAAAAGAAAAGAAAAAUCGAUUAUCAUUUUUCCUUCUCCCCUAACUCAAUCGACUGAAAUCCUAGACGAAAAUCAUUUCCUCUCGUCCUCCUCCGCCACCGCAGCCAACGAAGUAGAGUUCCGGCGGUUGCUAGAUGCUUAAAUAAAUGUUGGUAAAUUAGCAGCACUCUUUUAGAUUAUAUCAACACUCUUUAACUGUCACUAUAUAUCUAGCGACCCCACAUAUAGCAACACUUUUCAAAAGUGACGGUAAAUUUAGCCAGCAGCACUUUUUUGACCUAUACCAAUAUUUAAAAGUGUCGCUAUAGACCGUUUUUGUUGUAAUGUAUUGUGUGAUAUAACUCUUCAAAUAUAUGUACUUUUUUAUCAUUAUCAAUUUUUCUUAUUUGCCUUUAAAUUAAGAACCAAAAAGAUAUUUUAAUUCUUUUAACUCUGAUGAUCGAAUAUUUAACUCACGUUUAAUUCGAAAUAAUUUAACGGAUGGUAGCUGCAGAGAAAUUUUUGAAUAAUGGAGGAAUAUACAAGAGGUAUAUUGUAAAAAAAAAAUUAAAUUAGAUAUUUUUAAAAUUUUGAGGAAUAUAUAAAUAAUUAUUCCUUUAUAAGAAUUGGAAAAAAAAAAAUUAAAGAAACAA
This 885-nucleotide long non-coding RNA is filed under the name Ananas comosus (pineapple). RNAcentral describes it as "long non-coding RNA (ACOM_LNC001270)". Lineage: Eukaryota; Viridiplantae; Streptophyta; Magnoliopsida; Poales; Bromeliaceae. The record is from RNAcentral.